UCCGUCCGUUGCGUGGCCGGCAGGAGGCGCAGCGGCACGCGCGAGGCUGGGCGCCAGCCCCGGCCGACGGCGGGUGGGAGCAGCGCGGGAACGUGGUGGCGCGGCGGGCUGUUCCUGAGGCCACGGCUCCCUAGCAUUCUUUGGCUGAAGCCCCGGUCCUUGCCCAUGAAGCGUCACCCAUCAUGUUUUAUGGGACGCACUUCAUCAUGUCCCCGCCCACCAAGAGCAAGCUGAAGCGACAGAGCCAGCUGUUGUCCAGCAUGCUGUCCCGGACGCUGAGCUACAAGUACCGGGACCUGGACUCCACCUUCUCCAGCCUGGGCACCAGUGACGACCCUGCUGAGCUCUCCACCCAGCUCUCGGCCCCUGGCGUCCUGAAGGUGUUUGGGGACAGUGUCUGCACAGGAACUCACUACAAAAGCGUCCUGGCCACCGGCACCUCCAGCGCCCGUGAGCUGGUGAAGGAGGCACUGGAGCGGUACGCCCUGGACCCUGGGCAGGCCAGCCAGUACGUGCUGUGUGACGUGGUGGGCCAAGCUGGUGACGCUGGGCAGCGAUGGCAGGCUCAGUGCUUUCGGGUUUUUGGGGACAGUGAGAAGCCCCUCUUGAUCCAGGAAUUAUGGAAACCCCGAGAAGGUUUAUCCCGGAGGUUUGAGCUGAGGAAGAGGUCAGAUGUGGAGGAGCUGGCAGCCAAGGAGGUGGACACCGUCACGGCAGGGAUAAACGCCCAGGCCCGGAGGCUGCAGCGGAGCCGGGCGAAGGGAACCCCGGCCCUGGCCCUAGGGGAUGCCCGGAGCUCCCCUCCACCCCUGCUGCGCCGCACGGUCAGCGAGACCAGCCUGAGCCCAGCAACUGCCCUUCCUGCCACUGCCCACGGUCCGGAGGAGCCUGGCCCAGACGCCAUGCGGUACUCGCUGUACCAGUCCCCACACCUGCUCCUUCUGCAGGGCUACAGCCAGCAGCAUGACAGCCUGGUGUAUGUGCUCAACCGGGACCGGCACACAGUGGGCCAGCGGACCCCCUCCAGCAAGCCCAGCAUCAUUCUCUCGGCCCCCGACAUCCUGCCCCUGCACUGCACCAUCCGCCGCCACCCACUCGCGGACAGUGGCCAGGCUGGGGGGAGGCUGGUCCUGGAGCCCAUCCCCGGGGCGCCCAUCUCCGUCAACUUCUCUGAGGUGGGGCACCGGACUGUGGUGCUGCACCACGGGGAUCUGCUCUCCCUGGGACUCUACUACCUGCUGCUGUUCAAGGACCCUGCACAGGCCCAGCCCCUGCCUGCCCACGCCUUGGCGCACCUCCGGGCCGUGCCGCAGAGCUGCCGGCUGUGUGGAGCUGCGCUAGGGGCCCGGGGAGCCGCCUCCCCGACACAGGCCGCCCUGCCCAGGCGCCAGCAGCUGCUCCUGGAGUUCGAGCCCCACCUGGAGGACACGCUGCUGCAGAGGAUCAUGACGCUCAUCGAGCCAGGGGGCGACGACCACAAGCUGACCCCUGCCUUCCUCCUGUGCCUAUGCAUCCAGCACUCAGCCACCCACUUUGAGCCGGGCACAUUCGGGCAGCUCCUGCUCAAGAUAGCCAGGCUCAUCCGCAAGACCGUCUGGGAGAAAACCAAAGAACUAGCAGAGAAGCAGGCGCCACUCCAGGAGCCCGUCUCGCUGGCCAGCUGCUCCAUGACUGACCUGGUUCCGGACCUGCAGCCCAUUCUUUUCUGGAUGUCUAACUCCAUUGAGCUCCUGUACUUUAUCCAGCAGAAAUGCCCACUCUAUAUGCAGAGCAUGGAGGAGCAGCUGGACAUCACAGGCUCAAAGGAGUCGCUCUUCUCCUGCACGCUGACGGCCAGCGAGGAGGCCAUGGCAGUGCUGGAGGAGGUGGUACUCUAUGCCUUCCAGCAGUGUGUCUACUACGUCUCCAAGUCCCUGUACAUCUGCCUCCCGGCACUCUUGGAGUGCCCCCCGUUUCAGAUGGAGCGCCGUGAGAGCUGGUCCUCAGCCCCCGAGCUGCCUGAGGAGCUGCGCCGUGUGGUGUCCGUGUACCAGGCGGCCCUGGACCUCCUGCGGCAGCUGCAGGUGCACCCCGAGGUGGCCUCACAGAUGCUCGCCUACCUCUUCUUCUUCUCUGGGACCCUGCUCCUCAACCAGCUCCUCGACAGGGGCCCGUCGCUGAGCUGCUUCCACUGGCCCAGAGGCGUCCAGGCCUGCGCCCGCCUGCAGCAGCUCCUGGAGUGGAUGCGGAGCGCCGGCUUCGGGGCAGCUGGAGAGCACUUCUUCCGCAAACUCUCCUGUACCCUCAACCUGCUGGCCACACCCAGGGCCCAGCUCAUCCAGAUGAGCUGGGCAGCUCUGCGGGCCGCAUUCCCUGCCCUGAGCCCAGCACAGCUGCACCGGCUGCUGACUCACUACCAGCUGGCCUCGGCCAUGGGCCCCAUGAGCGUCUGGGAGCCAGGGACCCAGGACAGCCCCGACGCCUUCAGGUCAGAGGACGUCCUGGAGUCCUAUGAAAACCCGCCACCCAUCGUCCUGCCCAGCGAGGGCUUCCAGGUGGACUUGGAAGCUGACUGCCUGGAUGACAGCAUCUACCAGCAUCUGCUCUACAUCCGCCACUUUCUGUGGGGCCUGCGGAGCAGAGCCAGUCCUGGCAGUGGGGCCCCCCAGCCAGCCUGCCCGGAGGAUGUACACCACGCCAUCCCUGAGGGGCACCUGGAGGCCCCGAGCUGCCCCCUGGCCUCCAGGGACCCUGGUCCAGCAGCCCGGGAAGCCGCCUCGGAGCGUACUCUUCCCUUGAGGGGGGCUCCCUGGGCACAGGCCCCCUCUGGAAGGCAGCCUGGCCGUGGGGGCUCCCAGGCUGGCCCCCCACACAAGGACUCAUCCUGCUUGCUCACGCCUCCCAGCACUCCACUGGGCCCUGAGCCCAGGGACCCCGGCUGGCCAGUGCCCGGCGGCCCGUGUGGCAAAGUGCUCCCAGAAAGGCAGAGGAACGGACCCAGAGGCCUCCCGGGCGCAGCUUCGGAAGGAGACUCUGCAGCCCCCGAGGACGAGUCCCCUCCAGCCCCCUCCAGCCGCAGCUCCAGCACCGAGGAUUUCUGCUAUGUCUUCAUGGUAGAGCUGGAACGAGGCCCCUCGGGGCUGGGAAUGGGCCUGAUCGAUGGGAUGCACACACGCCUGGGCACCCCCGGGCUCUACAUCCAGACCCUGCUCCCGGGCAGCCCUGCAGCAGCCGAUGGGCGCCUGUCGCUGGGAGACCGCAUUCUGGAGGUGAACGGCAGCAGCCUCCUGGGCCUCGGCUACCUGAGAGCCGUGGACCUGAUCCGCCAUGGGGGGAAGAAGAUGCGGUUCCUGGUCGCCAAGUCUGACGUAGAAACAGCCAAGAAGAUCCAUAUCCGCACGCCCCCUCUCUAGGGGGCCGCAAGGCACCCCCGCACGCCCAGCGCCCUGUCCCACCCACUGACACCGGGCUUCCUCCUGCCUUGUCCCUGUUUUGUAACUGACCGAGUUGGGUGCCCGGGUGGGCAGCCUCACCUGUUGAUAACCUGCAUCUCAGUGGAGGUUUUAUUUAUAUGAGGGUGACCUGCUGGGAUCUCAUCUCGGGCAGCAGGUGUGGGCCGCUCAGAGGGGAUGCAGGGGGCUCCCUGUGGCCUCUACCUGCCAGUGCGGGAAGAUGCGGUGACAGCUGUCGUCAGGAUCAUCUAAACUGCCUCUCCCUGCCCCUGCCCCACCCCGACACAGGGCACAGCAGGAAGCAGCCCCAGCAGCUCCUCCCAGCCAGCACAGGGACCAGACCCGCCAUAGAGGCUGCUGGGCUUCUAAUUCUGCUGCUCAGCACAGGCCCCAGAGAAAGGUCUAGAAACCCAGGGGUUGGAACGUGAACGGGCCUGAUGGUCUCCGAUGCCCAGAGCCCACCUUGGUCCUUGCCUCCUCCCCCAGGACUCCUGCUCGCUCCUGAGUGCCUCUUCCCAACUAAAGCCACCAGUUUGGCCCUAAUACCAGGCUGCCGGCCCCAGGCUCUUAUCCUCACCGGCGUUCCCCUGGCCACCGGCCCUGACGAGGUGAGGCCGGCCUCCCUCUCUACCAGCCGGCUGACCGUGCGCAGGGCCAGGGCAGGGCCCUGCCGGCCUCGCGGUGACAGCGGGGCUGGCUGGGCAUCUUCAACAGGGUUAGCAGCUCUGUGGCCCGGCUCCCACGCCCUCCUCACUGUGGUGGAGCUGGUGGCCCAGGGUCAUCUUUGAUACCAAAAGAGAGGCCCUGGGGAAGAGGGUCCCUGCCAGUCAGUUGCAGAUGCCCCCCUCACAUGGCCAGGGGUCUGCGCGGGGUCCCCAAACCAGUGUCCUGGGCCCGUCCCAGACACGGGGCCUCGCGCAGCUCCAUGCUGCCCUCUGGUGUGCACUGCGGCGAGGUGCAGUGUGUCCGCCUGGCACCCUGUGUGGACCUGCAGUCUGCAGCUACGCAUUGCGCCUGGCUCCAAGUGGCUGCCCACUGCCAGGUUCCUAAAACACUGGAUAAAAUAUAGAUAUUUGUCCCUCCUAUCUCAUCCCGAGACGAAGAAUGUCCUAUCCUGGGAAUGCAGCCCAGUAGGUCUCAGCUUGGUUUUACCCAGCUGCCAUUCAAGAUGGAGUUGCUCUAGUUCCAGCGCCUCUGACAUAAUAUGAAGUCAUGCAACAUGUGACCUAGGGUUUGCAUUCUUUCACUUGUAUAACGUUUCUAAGGUUCAUUAUCUUUUCUGUAAAUCUGAAACUAUUCUAAAAUUUUAAAGUUUAUUUUAAAAACAGUUGAGAGCUGGUGAGCUCUGCCCUUUUCCCAGCUGUCUCCUGGAAUCCCCCCAGGAGGCCGCUCCUCCUUGGGCUGGGGUCGUGCCCUCGGAGUCACCAAGAUGAACUGGACAGCCCUGCAAGCCACACUCCCCCGUCCUAAGCCCGGCGCAGCUGCACAGGCUGCGGGAGUAGCACCAGGUGGCCUGGGCGGUGGCCCCAUCAGUGCCUGGGAGCUGGGAGCCAGGAUAGCACCGACGUCUUCAGGUCAGUGAAGCCCCGCCUCAGGGCAGGAGGGGAGCUGGGGACUCCGUGGGAGACUCAUUUUAAGGCUAGGGGCGUCACCGCGCUCUCUGAACUUCAGGAUGGGCCCAGCAGCGCCUUCACACCCUCUGCUGCUGGCGGGGUCGUGCAGCGCACGGGGAAGCUAUCCCGAGACCUGCGCACAUACAUGCACGUGCGCACGCACACCUCGGUGUGCACAGUUCUACACGUGCGCUGCUGUUUCCACGUGGAAACACAAACAGCCGACGGAAGCGCCUGCCAGCGCAUGCCUUUCCUGCGGCCCCGGGCUAUUCUGGGCCCAGCCCGCCCGGCCGCGGGGGACACCAUCCGCCCUGGAGCUCAGAACGCGACCCCAGGCUGCGGCGCAGGGGAGCACUUCCUGGGCUGGAACCUGGCGGUGAGGACCCAGCGGGUUCGGCCUGAGCGUCUGGGGAGCUCCAGAGCCCGCACGGUGUCCCCUGCUCCGCCCCCUGCGUCACCCGCCCUCUCCAUAGUCCAAAAGCCGGGCUAGGGGCAGGAUCCCCUGGCCAUCUUCAGCUGGUGGUUUUUGGCCGCGAAGCCGUGGGGAAUCUGGGGAGGUGGCGGGGCCAGAGCAAAACGUGGGCCGGAGGCGGAGCCAGAGCCGGGGGUGGGACGCGAGGCUCGCGGGGCAAUGGCGCCCCCUGGUGGCUGAGCCCGUCCUAGGCGCCAGGCAGAACGCCGGACAAAGCUGUGCCUCAAUGGCCCGGCGGAUAGGAGUGCAGGGCCCGGGAAGUUGGCGGGGCCGGUGCCGCCUCCUCAGGCGCUCCCCUUCGCGCGAAGCCAGCGCUCUGAGCACAGCCCUCGUGCAGGUGGCUCCCUGGCCUUCCCCUCCGAAUGGCCGGAGGCUGAGGCUGCACAGGCCACGGCACCUGCAGCCCUCCCGGGCCCUUUUCUCAAGAGCAUCAAAACGGGUACUGACUAAGCACACCGCGCAGCAGAGUGACCACCCCCUGGGAACUCGCGCCACUGCCUUCUGCACAGUGCAUGAAUGCCGUUUUCAGCAGCAGCUGGCAGCAGCCUGGCCUGGCAGAGCCCCCAGGACUGGCAGCAGCUGCAGGGGCUCCCAUCCCUGGCCCUCUCCCCAGGGUGCAGGGCACUGUUCACAGAGACACUUGUUAAAGGAUAUUUAUUUUUAUUGCACCUUUUCCUGCCCCUAAACUGCCCAAGAACAAAGACUAGGAAACAGACCCGGCAGCCUCCACCCAGCCCAGCCACAAGGCCUCAGCCUCCCAUCAGAGCCGCUCCACAGCUCCCCUCAGCUCAGCUCAGCUCAGCUCAGCAUGGCCGAGGAGCAAAAAGCUCGGAGACAAAGCCCAGAGGGUGAACAGGGGGCCAGCUCUGAGUGUCGCUAAGGGCACCAAGCGCAGCCUGGGCCCUGCCUCUCUCCCAGGACUCCCGUGCCCUCCUGAGUUCCUCUCCAUCACAAAAGCUGACAGCUUGGCCCUAACAGCAAGCUGGUGGCCCCAGGUUCUUAAUCUGCGCCAGCAUCCCUGGCCACUGUCCCUUCACCCUGGCAGGAGUCCGGCCUCCCUCUCCACCAGCCGGCUGACUGUGCGCAGAGCCAGGGGCAGGGCUGUGUUGGCAUCGCGGUGAUAGCGGGGGCUGCACACCUCCGCGCUGGGCGUGAACACGAACUGGGCCACACUGGGCAUCUUCAGCAGGGUCAGCAGCUCCGUGGCCCGGGUGCGGAUGGCUUCCACGCCCUCCUCACUGUGCGUGGAGCUCGUGGCCGGGCUCUGAGCCAGGUUCCUCAUCUUUGACAGCAACAGAGAGGUCCUGGGGAAGAGGGUCCCAGCCGUGAGCUGCAGAUACUCCCCUCGCAGGGAUAGCGUCUGUGUGGAGGGGCCAAGCCCCACAGCACCCAGCCACAGUGGCUUUAGCUCAGCAGGACCCACCCCAGCCCGGCCAGCUUCGCCCACCCAGGACCUGAGCUGCUGAGGUCAUUUCAAGACACCUGGACAGGAAGACCUCAGACGCCUCAGCUCUUCCUUCCCCAGAAAGCCAGAAGGCCUCUCUGCCUCCCCGCCCAGGCACCUGGGGAUCAGGUCUUGGCUCCGGGAGGCCAGCUUCGUCAGCGUCGUCAUCAGCACAGUGACCUACCUGUGGGGGACAGCCAGGCAGGGUGGCAGAGGGGCGGCACUGGGUGAUCUCGAACAGCAGGGCCUCCAGGGCUUCGAAGAACUUGUUGAUCUGCUCCACGGUGCACCUCCGAUCGUAGGUCACCGACAGGUACUCGCCGAUGGCCCACACCUAGGCCCAGGGACACAGGCUCAGCCCCCACCCAGGCCUCCUGGGUCAGGAGUGGUGGAGGGAAGCCAGCGCCUGCCUUACCACGCUGGUGACGAGGCUCGCCCUGCCUCGGAGGCCAUUCACGCUGCCCAGGAACUCCAGGAGGUCUCUCGCCAGCUCCACCACCAGCGAGGGCUUCAGCUUACACAGGGCCAGGAACUGGGAGCUCAGCACCCUGCCCAAGAGCCGGGUCCAUGCUUGCUCUGUGCAGACGCCUGACCCUGUCCCCAUCCCCUACCCCAUCCAGGCCAAGGGUCCUGAGGGAGCCAGGAAGUGUCAGUGGCAGGUGCAGGCUGCACCCUCAGACAGGGACGUUAACAGAUGAUCGCCAUCCCUAGAGGAACUGUUCACCUCACUGGGGAGAAGGCUGGCACCUGCACUGGCCUUGGGGCCCCAGCUCAAAGUGGAACCAGGACGGGCCUUUGGAGAGAAGGACCCAAGGGACGGGGUGUAGAAGAGGGACUUGAGCCAGCCCCGAAGAUGACAGGUUCGGCAGAGGGAAGGACAGGGACAGAGAAGAAGAGCCCAGGACUGGGCAUGGGGCCGAGGGUGGGGGUGGCAGGGUCUGGGGCUGUUGAGGGCCCAGCUGGGGGCGGAACUGCAACCACUGAAGGGAAGGGAGAGGGAAGGGGUCCAGGAAGUGCCUGCCCAGGGCUGUGGUGGGGGCGCAGGAGGGACCCACCUGUGUACACGGGCCGCGUACCCUGGUGCUGGGUAGAGAGAGUCGCUCCUGCCCAGGAGCAGCAGUGCCAGCUGGUUGGUCAGGGCCCCAUCAGCCACCUGGGGGUCGGGAUCAGAGACGGGCUCAGCUUCACCCACACUGCAGGCCCUAAGGUGGGGGUGAGGCCAUGGUGAAGGCUGGGGGCAGCCAAGAGGCUGGAAACUUCUUGUCCACUGCCUUCUCCAACACCCAGGGAUACAGAGACUAAGCUGGCAGCAUCUGGGCACUGGGAGGGAAGCCCUGGGGCAGGCCCAGGAGCCCCUGGAGAAGUGUGGCUUCUGCUCCAUGGCUCCUCUGCCAACACCCGCUCUGUAAGGCUGGGGGCAAGUCCUGCUUGGCCAAGGGUGCGCCCAGGGGAUGCCCAGCCCUGCGCCCAGCCCCCUGCCAGCCUGCCCCCUUCUCGGCUCUCCUGUGCUGGUGUCCCACUUGUAGCGCUCCCAGAGGUGGGAACCAGCGACCAGGUGUGGGUUGGGGGAGCCACCAGCCUUUGGGAGCCUUUAUUUUGGCCUCGGAUGCAGAUGUUAAAGGUAUCAGGGCUUGGGGGGACAAACUGCUCUGCCCCAGCUGUGCUGCCAGCGCCAGGGCUGCUCACUUUCCCCCGAUGGGAGACGGGGCCUGCUGGAAGGAGGUGGAAGGGACCUGCUGGAACGGGGGGGACAGGGCCUGCUGGGAUGGGAGUGGGAAUGGGCCUGCCAGGAUAGGGGAUGUGACCUGCCAGCAUGUGGGACGGGGCCUGCCAGGGCUGUAGCAUGUGGCUGUGGACAGCUGGGUGUGAUGGGAUGAGCCUUCUGCAAACCUCAGGGGGACCCUGCUGGCUGGCUCUGGCUUGCCUUUUGGUUGUGGGAAUGGGGGGCUCCAGGCAGUGGGCUCACCUGGGUCACCGCUGAGAAGAACACCUGCAGCAGUGUGGGCACGGCCUCAGCACACUGGGCCACACGGGCGCAGCCGGCCAUGGGCUGCAGCAGCUGGUGGAGCGGUGCCAACCUGGGGACACAGUGUGGCCGUGAGAGCCGCCUGCUCCCUUACCCGGUGACUGCUGGCCAGGGCCAGGCAUCGGGGCCACGUCAUCACUACCCCCUCUCAUGUGGCUGUGCCCACUCCCAUCCUCGAUUCUCGCCUCUCAGGACCACCUGCUCUCCUGGGCUCAGGGAGACCCCCGGUGUUGGCAUACUGAGGACAGUGGAGCCGUCGGGGCAAAGGCUGGUGUGGGCCAGGGGCAGGAGGUCUGUGGGCCAGUCCUGGGCCUCCUGCUUCCUGGGCUCAGCCUCGGUUUCUCCAUCUGCAAAAUGGCAGCCACAGGGCCGACCCCCAGGCUUCUAAGAGUUGAUCUGGGCAGCAGAGAGAGCUGAGCCCUAGGCCCCCAUCCAGCAGACCAUGCUGCAGGAGGGCCUCUGCGACAGUCGUGACAGCUGCUCCCUGGGGUGGGAACACAGCCUUGUCUGGGGCAUAAAGCACCCUAGCCUCAGCCCAGGGCCCAGCAGCCUGCCCCAUCCUGGCAGCUCCCCAUCCUGAGGGCCCCUACCUCUCAGUGGUGCCACUGGCCUUGGGGCGCAGCAGGUAUUGGAAAAGACCCUGGAACUGUGGGUCCCGGAAGGCCUCCAGGCAGCUGGGGACCCUGAGAGAGGUGUCCCAGAGUGGCCUCUCAGAUGGAGCUGGUGAUGACCUGCGUGGACAGACAUCCAAGGCCGGGCUGGGAUUCGGCACAGGCCACUCAGGGUCCCAUGCAGCCCCUGCCCCCACGGGCACACCCCUUGUUGGGAGACACACAGCAGGUGUCUGUAACAUCACAGCGCCUGGAUGCUGGGAAGGGCUUGGGGGCACGGGAAGGCUCCAGGCCUGGGCGUGAAGAUGGGUGAGGAACUCCAGGGUGCAGGGGCUGCCCCUGGCGGGUGGCCAAGGGUGAGAGACUCGCCCUGUCCUGAAGGUGGCUUUGCAGGGCAGAACUGGCCGCGUGUUGGGGGUGUACAGGGGUCAGAAGCGGUGAGGAGAGGCCCAGUGUGCAGGACCAGCUGGCAGAGGGUGAGGGGCCCACCUGAGCUGCAGGUCCAGUGCCGCAGUCAGGCACGGCAGGUCCAGCAGUGCGUGCAGCAUCUCCAGCGCCGUGCUGGCGUCCACCAGGGCCGGGAGGAGCUCCACGAACUCGGAGGUGAGGGGUGGGCUGUUCCAGCCCAGGAACUGUAGGCACAGCGCAGUGGUUUGGUCAGAGCUCAGAGCUGUGGGGCAGGCGUGAUGCCACAUGGGCACCCUGGGCCCUCACCUUGUGCUGCACCCCACAUUCCAGGCCCAGGGUCCACAGGGCUCUAUGCUCAGCCAGGACUUGCCCUGAACCCUGCUGGAAAGAGGGGAGGAGGCCAACCCCCGCCCUGGCAGCCAAGGAUGCCCAAAUUUGCCUUAAAGAGGUUGGGGAAGCUCAAUUUGAGGGUGCUGAGGUGCCCAGCAAACAGGUGGAGGUUGUCCCUGCAGAACUGGAUGAACUCGAAGGCCAGCAUGGGGCUGUGGAACUGCUCAGAUGGGAUCCUGGUGAACAGGUGCCGGUAGACAGCUUCCGAGUCCACCGCAGCCACCUCCCCUGCAAGACCAGGGCCCGUCAGGGCGCACGCCUGCUGGACGCACGUGUCCUGACCUAGACCUAGUCCUGGCAGUGCCGCUCUGUGGCUGGUUAGGGCACCUGAGUCUCGGGCCUGCUCUCCAGGACACCAAGGGCUCUCUCCUACGUCCUACGCCGGGACGCCGGGGAAGCUACACUCGGUCUCCCCUCUCCCAGCAACACGGCCAGCUCGUGAGUCACACAAACCAUGGCACAUUUUUUGGAAGGUGCUAGUUCCUAGACUUUUGAAUUUCAUGGGCUAGGGACACAGCAAAGAGUUUCUGUUUAUUUUUCUAUUUAAAAGUUUGAAAAUUACCAACAUUUAGCACAGGGAUCCAUAAAAAAGAAACAUGACGGCUGGGCGCGGUGGCUCACACCCGUAAUC
Molecule: non-coding RNA, 11026 nt
Organism: Saimiri boliviensis boliviensis (Bolivian squirrel monkey)
Lineage: Eukaryota; Metazoa; Chordata; Mammalia; Primates; Cebidae
Source: RefSeq, a predicted model, not a curated record